This 324-nucleotide ribosomal RNA is filed under the name uncultured eukaryote. Its description in RNAcentral is "partial 18S ribosomal RNA". It matches the Rfam family "Eukaryotic small subunit ribosomal RNA", at positions 1470 to 1796 of the family's 1831-position model. The record is from RNAcentral.
CCCUUAGAUGUUCUGGGCUGCACGCGCGCUACACUGAAGCUAUCAACACGUUUUCCCUCCCUGAGAAGGGCGGGUAACCUUUUGAAUCAGCUUCGUGGUAGGGAUCGGGGCUUGCAAUUGUUCCCCGUGAACCAGGAAUUCCUAGUAGACGCGAGUCAUAAGCUCGCAUCGAUUAAGUCCCUGCCCUUUGUACACACCGCCCGUCGCUACUACCGAUUGAACGUUUUAGUGAGGCAUUUGGACCGACGCAUCUCAGUUUAACCGCUGGUUUGUGUUGGAAAGACUUCCAAACUUGAGCGUUUAGAGUAAGUAAAAGUCGUAACA